CAUGUUAUACUUCAAAAUUGGUGAAAUUAUUGACGAUAGAAUCACACAAGACUAUUUCGCUAACAAUGUGAAUCCCACUCUACCUAUGCACCGAAAAUGUACCUGUCAUCUGCUGAGUUUGAUAGCGAAGGCUGAUAUAUCAAAGAUUCAAGAUCACACAUUUCAAGAAUUGAGAAAUUCGACGCUUGUAAAAAUUCAACUGUUGCUGAAUAAACAAACAUCAAGUUCCCUGAAUUCGGACCUCAUAAUGGAACUAAUUGGACAACUUUUCAUUCAAAAAAACGAAACAAGAUGGAAUUCAGAGUAUUACGCUAUACGCUGCAUUGUCCGAUUAUUGAGAACGAAGAGUCGUGCAAUGAGGAAACUUUUUGAAGAGCUUCGUUUAACUCCUUUCACGCCUAACGAGGAGCAGUUCCUGAAGGAAUACACGAAGAUAAUGCGAUAUAUCACUGAUGCGUUAGACGUGUUGCAAGGCGAGAAGAAUAUCGGCUUGGGGUUCCUACUUCCAACAAUUUCUGUUUAAAAAAAAAACUGGCUUUGCUACAAGACAAUGCGUCGAUUAUUAAAUGUCAAUCACUAAUCACUGGACUGCUUGACGCUAUCUAUGAGAGAUUUGAACACAUGUUCUCAGAGAAUGAGCUACGUUUGGCUACGAUUACCAACCCAUUUUUUAAGCACUCAUGGUUGGAUAAUUAAGACGAUGUUCGUCGCGCAAAAACAUUGCUCAGAGGAGAAUUUGUCCGGUUUCAGGGACUAAACAACGAGUCCGAAUCUUCGGAUGAUUCAAGUGACGGGACCUCCUCUUCAAUAUCAGAUCCCAGUCCGGAGAAAAAACAGAGACGCGCGAAGGAUUUUUUUGCCUCAAUUACUAAACGAAAUGAAAAGUCAAAGGUAAUUGAUGAAGUAGAGACAUUCCUUAAGAUGUGUGGAAAUCUAGAUGACCUACCAAAUUAUCCAACCAUCAUGAAGAUGUAUAAGUAAGUGCCGUGCCGACAUUCUAUGUGUAUUGUCAUUAUACGUAAUUCAUCACUAAUGUAAUUUUUUUAGACGAUAUAACGUGAUUUUGCCCUCUUCCGCCGCAGCCGAGAGACUUUUUAGU
Molecule: long non-coding RNA, 1099 nt
Organism: Daphnia carinata
Lineage: Eukaryota; Metazoa; Arthropoda; Branchiopoda; Diplostraca; Daphniidae
Exons: 3
Source: RefSeq, a predicted model, not a curated record